RNAcentral lists this long non-coding RNA (846 nucleotides) under Homo sapiens (human). Its description in RNAcentral is "long non-coding RNA NONHSAT188819.1". The record is from RNAcentral. Lineage: Eukaryota; Metazoa; Chordata; Mammalia; Primates; Hominidae.
UCGGGAUCCUGUUUGCCAUCCUCUUGGUGCUGGUCUUUAUCAGUGGCCAAGAAGCCAACCAAUAAGGCCCCCCACCCCAAGCAGGAACCCCAGGAGAUCAAUUUUCCCGACGAUCUUCCUGGCUCCAACACUGCUGCUCCAGUGCAGGAGACUUUACAUGGAUGCCAACCGGUCACCCAGGAGGAUGGCAAAGAGAGUCGCAUCUCAGUGCAGGAGAGACAGUGAGGCUGCACCCACCCAGGAGUGUGGCCACGUGGGCAAACAGGCAGUUGGCCAGAGAGCCUGGUGCUGCUGCUGCUGUGGCGUGAGGGUGAGGGGCUGGCACUGACUGGGCAUAGCUCCCCGCUUCUGCCUGCACCCCUGCAGUUUGAGACAGGAGACCUGGCACUGGAUGCAGAAACAGUUCACCUUGAAGAACCUCUCACUUCACCCUGGAGCCCAUCCAGUCUCCCAACUUGUAUUAAAGACAGAGGCAGAAGUUUGGUGGUGGUGGUGUUGGGGUAUGGUUUAGUAAUAUCCACCAGACCUUCCGAUCCAGCAGUUUGGUGCCCAGAGAGGCAUCAUGGUGGCUUCCCUGCGCCCAGGAAGCCAUAUACACAGAUGCCCAUUGCAGCAUUGUUUGUGAUAGUGAACAACUGGAAGCUGCUUAACUGUCCAUCAGCAGGAGACUGGCUAAAUAAAAUUAGAAUAUAUUUAUACAACAGAAUCUCAAAAACACUGUUGAGUAAGGAAAAAAAGGCAUGCUGCUGAAUGAUGGGUAUGGAACUUUUUAAAAAAGUACAUGCUUUUAUGUAUGUAUAUUGCCUAUGGAUAUAUGUAUAAAUACAAUAUGCAUCAUAUAUUGAU